AAGUCGUAACAAGGUUUCCGUAGGUGAACCUGCGGAAGGAUCAUUAUCGAGUUCAUGCCCUCCGGGGUAGAAUCUCCCACCCGGUUUAUCUUACCUUAUGUUGCUUUGGCGAGCCGACCGCUUAGGCCACCAGCGACAUGCUGGUGUGCGCCCGCCAAAGGUCCCAAAAUCAUGUUGUUUAAUGUGCCGUCCGAGUACUAUCUAAUAGUUAAAACUUUCAACAACGGAUCUCUUGGUUCUGGCAUCGAUGAAGAACGCAGCGAAAUGCGACAAGUAAUGUGAAUUGCAGAAUUCAGUGAAUCAUCGAAUCUUUGAACGCACAUUGCGCCCCUUGGUAUUCCGAGGGGCAUGCCUGUCCGAGCGUCAUGAGACCAAUCAAGCUCUGCUUGGCAUUGGGCCAUGCCGACGAUGGCAGGCCCCAAAUCUAGUGGCGGUACCGCGGGCUCUAAACGUAGUAAUAUCUCCCGUUAUAGACGUCCGCGGUAAACGACCAGGAACUUCAUCCCAAAGAGUUGACCUCGGAUCAGGUAGGGAUACCCGCUGAACUUAAGCAUAUCAAUAAGCGGAGGACAAGAAACCAACAGGGAUUGCCUCAGUAACGGCGAGUGAAGCGGCAACAGCUCAAAUUUGAAAUCUGGCCCUUCCAGGGUCCGAGUUGUAAUUUGGAGAAGAUGCUUCGGGCGUGGCGCCGGUCUAAGUUCCUUGGAACAGGACGUCAUAGAGGGUGAGAAUCCCGUACGUGACUGUGCGCCCACGUCCGUGUGAAGCUCUUUCGACGAGUCGAGUUGUUUGGGAAUGCAGCUCAAAAUGGGUGGUAAAUUUCAUCUAAAGCUAAAUAUGGGCCAGAGACCGAUAGCGCACAAGUAGAGUGAUCGAAAGAUGAAAAGCACUUUGGAAAGAGAGUUAAACAGCACGUGAAAUUGUUGAAAGGGAAGCGCUCGCAAUCAGACUUGCGCGCGGCCGAUCAUCCGGGGUUUUCCCCGGUGCACUCGGUCGUGCUCAGGCCAGCAUCGGUUCGGGUGGUCGGAUAAAGGUCGUGGGAAUGUAGCUCCUCUCGGGGAGUGUUAUAGCUCGCGGCGCCAUGCGACCCACCGGGACCGAGGACCGCGCUUCGGCUAGGAUGCUGGCGUAAUGGUCGUGAGCGAUC
RNAcentral lists this ribosomal RNA (1147 nucleotides) under uncultured fungus. RNAcentral's name for it is "eukaryotic LSU rRNA". The stretch from base 514 to 1147 matches the Rfam family "Eukaryotic large subunit ribosomal RNA", at positions 1 to 649 of the family's 3401-position model. Lineage: Eukaryota; Fungi. The record is from RNAcentral.